CCAGAAGAGUGGUUUUGUCUCAGAGCUAACUGCUCCCCACAACCUAGGAUGUAUAUUUGCCACGCUUGUGGAAAUAUCUGGAAAUCUAAGUCCAGCACCUAACACAGAGCCUGGCACAUAGCAGAUGCUCACUCAAUAAACUUGUUGAAUAUUUUAGCAGCCAAGCCCAACAAGCAAGACCAUCUUAACAGAGCUUCAAGUGGCAUAAUCCAGUGAAAUACAGGUUCUGAGUACAGUUCUCCUAUUGUACUAACUCAGGAGUUUGAGACCAGCCUGGGCCACAUGGCAAAACUCUGUCUCUACAAAAAAUUUAAAAAUUAGCCAGGUGGGGUGGCACAUGCUUGUGGUCCCAACUACUUGGGAGGCUGAGAUGGGAGGAUUCCUUGAACCCAGAAGGUCGAGGCUGAAGUGGCACUUCAGGGUCUGCUCUUCAGCUUCAUUUCUUUCCAUUU
Molecule: long non-coding RNA, 452 nt
Filed under: Pan troglodytes (chimpanzee)
Lineage: Eukaryota; Metazoa; Chordata; Mammalia; Primates; Hominidae
Description: long non-coding RNA NONPTRT002796
Source: RNAcentral